This 229-nucleotide ribosomal RNA is filed under the name uncultured bacterium. Its description in RNAcentral is "partial 16S ribosomal RNA". It matches the Rfam family "Bacterial small subunit ribosomal RNA", at positions 568 to 796 of the family's 1533-position model. The record is from RNAcentral.
UGCGUAGGCGGGCUAAUAAGUCAGUGGUGAAAUCUUCCGGCUCAACCGGGAACCUGCCAUUGAUACUGUUAGUCUUGAGUACGGCUGAGGUAGGCGGAAUGUGUAAUGUAGCGGUGAAAUGCUUAGAUAUUACACAGAACACCAAUUGCGUAGGCAGCUUACUAGACCGUAACUGACGCUGAGGCACGAAGGCGUGGGUAGCGAACAGGAUUAGAUACCCUGGUAGUCC